RNAcentral lists this unclassified non-coding RNA (338 nucleotides) under soil metagenome. RNAcentral describes it as "partial contains 5.8S ribosomal RNA, internal transcribed spacer 2, and large subunit ribosomal RNA". The stretch from base 1 to 120 matches the Rfam family "5.8S ribosomal RNA", at positions 35 to 154 of the family's 154-position model. The record is from RNAcentral.
GAUGAAGAACGUAGCGAAAUGCGAUAAGUAAUGUGAAUUGCAGAAUUCAGUGAAUCAUCGAAUCUUUGAACGCACAUUGCGCCCGCCAGCAUUCUGGCGGGCAUGCCUGUUCGAGCGUCAUUCCAACCCUCAAGCUCUGCUUGGUGUUGGGGCCCUACGGUUGACGUAGGCCCUUAAAGGUAGUGGCGGACCCUCUCGGAGCCUCCUUUGCGUAGUAACUAACGUCUCGCAUUGGGAUUCGGAGGGACUCUUGCCGUAAAACCCCCAAAUUUUCUAAUGGUUGACCUCGGAUCAGGUAGGAAUACCCGCUGAACUUAAGCAUAUCAAUAAGCGGAGGA